Molecule: ribosomal RNA, 679 nt
Filed under: uncultured bacterium
Lineage: Bacteria
Description: bacterial SSU rRNA
Rfam family: Bacterial small subunit ribosomal RNA
Source: RNAcentral
GAUGACCCCUAGCGGGAAGCCUUACACAUGCAAGUCGAACGGCAGCGCGAGGAAAGCUUGCUUUCCUUGGCGGCGAGUGGCGAACGGGUGAGUAAUGUAUCGGAACGUGCCCAGUAGCGGGGGAUAACCACUCGAAAGAGUGGCUAAUACCGCAUACGCCCUUCGGGGGAAAGGGGGGGAUUCUUUCGGGAACCUCUCACUAUUGGAGCGGCCGAUAUCGGAUUAGCUAGUUGGUGGGGUAAAGGCUCACCAAGGCCACGAUCCGUAGCUGGUUUGAGAGGACGGCCAGCCACACUGGGACUGAGACACGGCCCAGACUCCUACGGGAGGCAGCAGUGGGGAAUUUUGGACAAUGGGGGGAACCCUGAUCCAGCAAUCCCGCGUGUGCGAUGAAGGCCUUCGGGUUGUAAAGCACUUUUAGCAGGGAAGAAACAGCGCCGGUUAAUACCCGGCGUCACUGACGGUACCUGCAGAAUAAGCACCGGCUAACUACGUGCCAGCAGCCGCGGUAAUACGUAGGGUGCAAGCGUUAAUCGGAAUUACUGGGCGUAAAGCGUGCGUCGGCGGUUUGGCAAGAAAGGUGUGAAAUCCCAGAGCUUAACUUUGGAACUGCACUUUUAACUGCCAGGCUAGAGUAUGUCAGAGGGGGGUAGAAUUCCGCGUGUAGCAAUGAAAUGCC